UACGUAGGGAGCAAGCGUUGUCCGGAAUCAUUGGGCGUAAAGCGCGCGUAGGCGGCCCCGUAAGUCCGCUGUGAAAGUCAAAGGCUCAACCUUUGAAAGCCGGUGGAUACUGUGGGGCUAGAGUACGGAAGAGGCGAGUGGAAUUCCUGGUGUAGCGGUGGAAUGCGCAGAUAUCGGGAAGAACACCCGUGGCGAAGGCGGCACUCUGGGACGGUACUGACGCUGAGACGCGAAAGCGUGGGGAGCGAACAGG
This 253-nucleotide ribosomal RNA is filed under the name uncultured bacterium. RNAcentral describes it as "partial 16S ribosomal RNA". It matches the Rfam family "Bacterial small subunit ribosomal RNA", at positions 524 to 776 of the family's 1533-position model. The record is from RNAcentral.